Prunus mume (Japanese apricot) is the source of this 2537-nucleotide non-coding RNA. The record is from RefSeq and is a predicted model, not a curated record. Lineage: Eukaryota; Viridiplantae; Streptophyta; Magnoliopsida; Rosales; Rosaceae.
CCAAGCAAUUCUACCAUCGAAGACUCUACAAUGGACACAUAAGAAAAGACUCAUCACACCGGCACCAAAAAAUAACUAAAAAAGAAACAAAAAAAGAAACCGUGUUGUUUCUCUCUCUCUCUUCCAUUAUUUCCUUUCCUACGCAUAUCCCAUCCCUCCUCUUUUCAUCUGUUCCUUCGACUCUCGGGUGAAUAUUGUAUGUUUUUUUUUCCAUUUUCUGGUGACAGUUAACUUCGCAUCUUGUUUUUGGUUGGAUUGGUUUGUUUUGCUGCCAAUUCUCUGGCUCGUGAUUGUGGUGCUGUUCCACAGAGCUGUUGUCCGAGUUGCUGCGUUUCCAUUUCAUUAAUCUCUAGUUUGUUUUUGCUGGGUAUUUGCUCUCUUCCCUUCUUCCCUUUUGCUUAAUACGUUUUCAAUUACCCAAAAGAACAAUUAAAGCUACCAUUUUCAUUUUAUGUAUUUCCUGAGCGUUUGCCGAACCAGAUUUCCAGGAACUGUCUUUUUCCCAUGGCAUUGAGCACCCAAAGAGCCUAUACAUCUCGUACUUCAGCUGAAUGGGCUCCUCCCCAUUGGAAGCAUGAUGUCUUUUUGAGUUUCAGGGGUGAAGACACUCGCAGCGGUUUUCUAUCCCAUUUAUACCAUGAACUGCAGUACUGGCAAGCAAUUAAAACUUUCAAGGACGACUUGAGCGAUUGCCAGAUCUUCCGCUAAAUAUAAGAAGUGUAAACGUAGACAAUUGUAUUUCCCUUUUUAGUAUUGGUGAAGUUGCUUCAAAUUGGUUGAAGAAGAAGAAUUUUAAGCUUUCUUGUUUUAAUUGCUUCAAAUUGGUUGAAGAAGAAGACUGGAUUAUAUUUUUCUUUAAAAUGAUAAGGACAGCGGCCAUUGAGGGAAUGCUCUUAAAAAAUAAUGGUAAUUCUUUUGCUCCUGUGAGCUGUAUUACAUGCCCUGUAUUUGGAAUUCUUGAGUGGUUCGGUAAUCCAAGUGUGGGAGAUUCAAUAACUGUGGAGCUGCCUCUCCUUCCACACCCAUCAAAUAGCAGCGACUGGGUUGGGAUUGCUGUAUGUGUUGUUUUUGAUAGUAGUCCCGGAUUCCUUCCUGGAUAUUAUUUCAAGAUUGAAGUUCGAUCAUCUCAGAGAUAUUUGGAUGUCCUUCGUCGACGCUAUCCAACUGAGAUGAUUUUUUCAAAUAACCUUUGGGUUUUUUAUUUGCCUCGCGAUCAUCCAACCCUCACGAAUGCCUCAACCAGUCAUCGGUUUUCGUUCGAAACGUAUUAUUUUUCACCUAGAAGUUUGGAAAACCUCAAAACAAGCUCGAUUAUAAAGGAAUGUAGGGCUCGGUUGGUGUACAAGAGAGAUUUGGAAGAAUUCAGCCGUUUGAGGUACGGUGACGAGGUAGGUCCAAUUGGUAGUAGUGGAAGUGGUAGCUCUGAUGAGGGCGAUGAACCAGUCGCCAAAAGAUUGAAGAAAGUCUAAAUUAUUUUGUGCAUGGUGCAAUCAUUCAAUGAGGUCUCAAAAUAAUACUUGAAAAGCUAAUGACGAUGAUGGUCAAUCCUCAGAAUUCAUCUCAAUAUUGUACUGAAAACAGACAAGUAAGGUGUCUGUAUGCCAUGAAAAUGCACACUCUGAAUGAACCUUUGCAGAUGUUGCCCAACUGAAGCAUUUAGAACCGCACACUACUGAAUGAACUUCAGAUUUUAUUGGUAACUCAGGAGUUCUGUUGGAAAAACAGUUGGCAUUAUCGGCUUGGGAUGAAUUGGCAAGCCAGAGUUGAAGUACUAGGAAUACUAUCCAAGUUCCAUGGAGUUAGUUGGUUGUGUGAACUCUGAUCACUUCUGAGGAGACCAACAACAUUGUCGAUUUUGAAGUCAUCAAUGCUUGCUUUCCAAAGGGUAUUCUUGUUAACAUUGGAAGAGGCCUUAAUAUCAAUGAACCUGAGUCUCUGCACUGCUGGAUGGUUUCUGCUGACAUGGUUCAAGUCCACUCCACAUGUUGUAUAUGUUUGAUACAGAUGGGCAGGCUAUGGUGAUGAAAGGAUUACUAAAUCCGGUGAAUACGGAAGGUGCUCAAGUUUUAGAAAAACAGUGUUGGCUUGUUCUGCAAGGCUGGUGGAUGGAGGACAUAUCAGCAUAAAAGCUUUCUGGCCUCCCCCUUGUUAUCUCUGCAAGUGACAAACUCGUUGGAACUCCUCUACAAGUUUGGCCUUUUGUGGUCCUUGUGGCAAUGAACUUUCUCUUGUAAUGAUAAAACAAAUAAGAAAAGGAAAUGCAAAUAUGGGGAAGACUAAUGCAGCUAAAACUCCCAAUCCAAGAGCCAUCUCCACUAUCCUGUUUUUCUUUCAUGAGAAUGAUCAACAGGGAUGCUGUUGAUAAUUGAAUCAUGUGAUGGAGAGCACAAGUGGAUGAGACCCAAAAGUCUUGAAUCUCCACCUAUUCACAAUGUGAAAUUGAUCAUGAAGGGCAGAGUCUGUUGCAUUAUCUACAAUGGCAGUAAGUGAGUGGUCAAAGCAUAAGACUACAACAAAUGAGAAUGUAGCUUUCCUCU